Sesamum indicum (sesame) is the source of this 369-nucleotide long non-coding RNA. RefSeq lists it as uncharacterized. NCBI's taxonomy places the organism in Eukaryota, Viridiplantae, Streptophyta, Magnoliopsida, Lamiales, Pedaliaceae. The record is from RefSeq and is a predicted model, not a curated record.
GGCAAAGUUUUGUAGAAGCUAAACAAAAGAAUAUUGGGGGUGGGUUUGAGGUGCAAGGGAAGAAGAGAAAGAAUGAAUCAACCACCAAAAUACGCAUAUCCCUAUCCUGCUCAAGGCCAAUAUCAAGGGCCUCCAGUCAUGCCACCUCCACAGUAUUACGCUGCACCUCCGCCCCGCAGAGAACCUGGUUUUCUUGAGGGAUGUGUUGCUGCCCUGUGUUGUUGUUUCCUGGUUGACGAAUGCUGCUGCGAUCCCUCCAUCAUCUUCAUCUGCUGAUCUCAUAAUUCUUUGCGCUACUGUUUCGCACAUAUUUCUACCUACCUACUCCAAUUUAUGUUUGCCAUCCAUUACAACCUGUAACCUUAAUCU